UCGGGAAUUUUGGGCAAUGGGCGAAAGCCUGACCCAGCAACGCCGCGUGAAGGAUGAAGUAUUUCGGUAUGUAAACUUCGAAAGAAUAGGAAGAAUAAAUGACGGUACUAUUUAUAAGGUCCGGCUAACUACGUGCCAGCAGCCGCGGUAAUACGUAGGGACCAAGCGUUGUUCGGAUUUACUGGGCGUAAAGGGCGCGUAGGCGGCAAUUCAAGUCAUCUGUGAAAUCCCCGGGCUUAACUCGGAACGGUCAGAUGAUACUGCUUUGCUAGAGUGCAGAAGGGGCAAUCGGAAUUCUUGGUGUAGCGGUGAAAUGCGUAGAUAUCAAGAGGAACACCUGAGGUGAAGACGGGUUGCUGGGCUGACACUGACGCUGAGGCGCGAAAGCCAGGGGAGCAAACGGGAUUAGAUACCCAAGUAGUCCCUGAGCGGGCUGGCAAGGCGCAU
This 447-nucleotide ribosomal RNA is filed under the name uncultured bacterium. Its description in RNAcentral is "bacterial SSU rRNA". It matches the Rfam family "Bacterial small subunit ribosomal RNA", at positions 355 to 825 of the family's 1533-position model. The record is from RNAcentral.